UAUGUGGGUUGAUUAAAAUAAAAGAAAAGGAAGCCAUUAGUUUAUUUUUUUUUUGGGUGUUGCCAGCACAAACUAUUAGUGCCCAUACACUCAACACGUCACAAAGUGCCUUUAAGGAGUCUGUUGAACCGAAGUGGGAAGGGAGUGUUUAAAGAAAAAAAAGAAAAGAAAAAGAAAGGAGAUAGGAACAAAAGGGGUUUCGCCCAAAGAAGAAGAAAAGAGAAGAAAGAAAGAAAAAGAAACAAUCAGCAGCUUGGGGACGGCCAUAAAGAAAAGGGAAGCAAGUUUCAGACAAGAAAAUUUUUGGGUACAGGUGAAGAUAAGGAGACGGAAGCUUCGACAUUUCCAAGGGAUAAGUAAAUAAUUCGGGAAGUAAACAAGGUAUCUGGUUGAGUUGCUACUGCCAGGUCUAGAAUCUUGAGUGGGAAUGGGGAAAGGAACAAUGGACCGUCUUUUGUUUAAGAUGUAAAUAUUGUAGUAGAAUUUAAUGGUGUAACUUGUCGUUAACGAUUUAGUUUGUUUUAAACUUGCAUAAUAGGCCUAUAUUUUGUUUUAAAUUGUAAAUUGUUAAGCAUGUACUUUGAUGUAUGAUGAUGUCAUGUUGA
Cornus florida is the source of this 605-nucleotide long non-coding RNA. RefSeq lists it as uncharacterized. The transcript has 3 exons. The record is from RefSeq and is a predicted model, not a curated record. NCBI's taxonomy places the organism in Eukaryota, Viridiplantae, Streptophyta, Magnoliopsida, Cornales, Cornaceae.